Molecule: long non-coding RNA, 268 nt
Organism: Austrofundulus limnaeus
Lineage: Eukaryota; Metazoa; Chordata; Actinopteri; Cyprinodontiformes; Rivulidae
Exons: 3
Source: RefSeq, a predicted model, not a curated record
UGAUGGGCUAUGGCUUACCUACUGAUGGGUGUAACCAUGUGUGUUCUUACAGUCACGCUGUCCUUGAAGGAUAUGAAUCCACAGAUGCCGUACGUGAACGUCCCCCUGAUCUUCACUGUCAUUUGCAUUUAUGGACUUGGGCUUUCUGGAGUAUCCGUGGUUCUCCGGUGCUGACCUUUUCGUCCAAGCCUGGCGUCCUUCUGCUUUCAUGAUCAGUGGAUCCAUCUUCUGGUUUUGCAUUUGUUUGGUUGGAAUGACGUUUGGAUAU